This 3364-nucleotide long non-coding RNA is filed under the name Agrilus planipennis (emerald ash borer). RNAcentral describes it as "uncharacterized LOC112905821". Lineage: Eukaryota; Metazoa; Arthropoda; Insecta; Coleoptera; Buprestidae. The record is from RNAcentral.
UGUAGAAAAUUAUAAACACUAAGAACCCAAAUGAUUAAUAGAUACGAAUUAAGUUUUAAAAACGUUUAUUAAAACCUGGAGAUUACAAACAUAACUUAAUUAUAAGGGAGAUAAAACGUCACCAAAUCAAAAACUAACUUUUCUUUUGCUAUGCAUACAAAAAAUAAAAAUACAUAAUAUGAUAAACGAUGAGACAUAAGAUUUAUAGCAAUACUUGGAUACUCAAUGCUCAGGGUGUGAACCGUAGGUAAAUGUAACUACUCCCGACAUAGAUAUGAGUCAAAGUCCUUGAGAGCUUGCGAAUUUAGAUUAUAAUAGUUUCAUUAUUUUUUUCCCUUGUUUUUCCAAUCGUCUUGUUUAGAUUUGCUAGCGAAUCAUUAUAACAUAACACAGAACAAUAACAGUAGCACUAUGAUAUACAAGGUGAUCGUCCAAACACUGGGUUAAUAUGUGUUUAUAUUUGACACAUUUAAUUCUUUUAUAUGUUUCUCUUCUAAAUUCAAUGCCUUUUGUAUUUCUCUGAUAUUAUUUAGACGAACAGAUUUUAGUGUAAAUAAUUCCAAAUUGACAAGGAAGUCAUUACCAUGUUUAAACAGAAAACUUAAUAUGGCAGUUCAAUAUUUUUAACGACUAACUUUGGAGAUUAUCACCUUUCAGUUUAAUGGUCUGUAGUAUUAUUACAUUACAUUAUUAUAAUUCUAUAAGGGGUGUUCUCGUCCAGUUUAAUGGAAUUAACGUCGUUUGAAAUAUAUUGACCCGUAUUAUUUUCUUUGCUCGUUACAUAAUUGUGCUAGUUCAGGAUAAAAAAAAAAACGAUCUCAGGUGUGAUCACUUAAAAGGUUUCAUUAAUGGAUGUAGGUAAAGAGUAUAAAUUAUAAUAAUCGUAAUCUUCAGAUUCAGCUAUUUGGGACUUCAAAAAUUAAGUAAAUUUUGUUUUCUUUACUGUAACUAUAAUUUUUUCAAAAAGAAAAACAUUUUCCAUAGUAAGAUCAAAUGGCAAUUUUCCUUUCCUCAGUUGUUUUUCGAACUUUGGAAAAUUUAUUUAAUUGCAAUUAACCUAACAAACGCGCAACAAAACAUAGAAGUUAGUGAUGUAGAACUUAGGGAAAAAGAAAAGCCUUUCUUUCAAAAUCUCUCCUUCACUCUAACUACUAACAACAGAUACUUAGGAAUCAAUUUCGCACCGAACACCUUAACAAUGAAGAAGAAACCUCCUUAUGGAAAACUAUCCAAUGGUAACCGGAAAUAUUCCACAUAGAAGGCUUUGACACACCAAGUCACAUAAAUAUAAUCGAACAUAAAAUACUUGCUAAGGACAAUGUAUCAGGCCAAGCGAAGGACUACAGAUAUUCACAAAUUCACAAAGAAGUCAAUAAACAAAUUCGUCAAUUACGUAAAAAUAAAGUCAUCCGACCAUCUUUUUCUAGAUGGAGUUCACCUUUAUGAAGUGAGACACAUUCGGAAAAGUCAAGUGGAGAAUGGUCAUCGAUAAACGAUAAAACAGUAGACAACAAGUACUCUCUGCCCAACUGUCAGUUUAUUUCGCUGCACUUGAUUUGAUCUCCAGCAUCUUUCAAAUCAAGAUGUAUAAGGAUUCCACAGAAAAAACAGCUUUCUCAGUCAAUAAAAAACUCUAGGAGUACACCCGCAUGCUGUUCAGGCUAAGGAAUGCCCCUUCUACUUUUCAGCAUGCCAUGAAUCUGGCCCUAAAUGGCUUAACUCCAUAACAGUGCAUGAUGUGUAUCGACGACAUUAUCAUUUAUGAAACAUCUGAAAAACAAACUUCCUAGGACACGUAAUCAUUAGAGAAGGAAUUAAAACCAACCCGGAUUAUGACGUAACCUCCAUCAACGCCCUCAGGCGUUCCCAAGGUUACAAAACAUAGAUAGAUCGUAUACGCACCGAUUACGAAGAAGCAGAACCUGGUAGGGACUCUUCGGAGCUCGCUGCCCUCCAUAACAAUUACACCUGCUACCACCGAAUACGACACCUUCACCUCGGAAAUCCCUGAAGAUCUCUUGGUCCCCACGGAUGUCUCCGAUGGUAGCUCACCGGAGCCGAGCACACCACCUCUCCUUCAGGUCACAACCACGGACAACAACAACACAUCCAUCCAGGCUGUUGAUGAUCCGAUUGCUGAAUACCUACGACUGCUACUGUCUGAUGAAUUCACCAAUACAGAGGACAUCUCUCUAUUAUACAUCCACACCUUCAGUCAAACGCCAUUCUUUCUUCGCUUACGGUGUAACGGGAGGACAACAAACGAACGUGCGAAGAUCCCCCAACAUGCGAUGACACUAGCUCAUCCACUAUCCAAACGUCGGGCCAGAAUUGCCCGCUAUCGACUUACUCAGGAGCUCUACAAGUCCAAUACAAUCAUUCUGUCCCAAAAGAUCAUCGAUGGCCUGGAUCUUGAACAACCACCGACCACACCCAUCCAGAUGAUCUCCUUCAAACAAAUUCUCGGCUUUUCGUCAUCCCAAAAGGAGUGGCGAACCUAGAAAACAUCAACAACUGGAGGCCGAUCACCGUCGCCCCACUCCUGAUCAGAAUCUUCCAUCGUAUCCUGACCAAGAGACUCGCCACACUUACUCUCAAUCGGUCCCAGAGAGGUUUCAUCUCUCUUGACGGCACCCUGGGCAACGCAACAACGUUACUUUAUGAAACCAUAUCAAACACCACCGAGAACAUACCAGGCCCUACAUCACCACCCUCGAUCUGCACAAAGCUUUCGACACCGUCCCAUACCCCUCAUCGAUGGGCCCUCGUCCGUCUGAGCGUAGAUCUCCGCUUCACUAGAUAUGUCAUCGCUUCAUUGACGGAUUGUACUACCACUUAUUUCCUGCGGCCAACACACCUCGCCGUCAAUUAAGAUCGAACGUGGCGCCAAACAAGGGGACCACAUCUUCAAUGCCGUUGUGGACGACCUGGUCCUCAAGUCGACAUCACUGGACGACCAACAACAUCUGGUCCGAAUGGUCGACUGUUUCAUAUACCAUGUAUAUUGUGUUGUUUUUUUAACCACUGAUUUGUUUAUCAACUUAAUUGCAUUAAUUACCAGCAAGGAAACCAAUAUUGAUUAGUGAAAUAGUAUAAAAGCUGAUAUGAACUCGCACAAAGCAAAAAUGAUUGAUUCAGAUUAUAAUUUUUUUGCACCCAAGCUUAGCGGAAAAAUUUAUUGUAGUGAUGGUGGCGGUGGUAGUUCCACCGAUGCCACCAUUCAUUUACCUUGGUGGUGCAGGUGGGUAGCGAUAUUAUAUGAGAGACCACCAAAAUUUACUCGAAGUUUGGAAAAUGUAAGUAAACGAAUACUUUUAUUAUAGCCAUUAACAUUCAUACAAUUUUAUCUUAUUUACAGAGCCGA